Molecule: long non-coding RNA, 566 nt
Filed under: Anas platyrhynchos platyrhynchos (common mallard)
Lineage: Eukaryota; Metazoa; Chordata; Aves; Anseriformes; Anatidae
Description: lncRNA (ENSAPLG00000031150.1)
Source: RNAcentral
GGCAUGUACUUUGGCAGGGUCUGGUUUAUACAGAGCUGUCCAUCUGUUUUCUUUUCCCCGGAGCAGCUCGUAGGAAAGGUUUAUCCAUCUUUGCAGGCUGUUGUGGUUUCUUGUGUUUAAGGGGAAAGGUCAGGGUAAUGGAUGCUUUUCCCGUGACUUUUGUUUCUCCGUGAAUUUGCAGGCUUUUGAGCAAUUCUGCAAUUGUUUCAAACCUACUCAUGGAUUCCCCAGCUAUGGAACAGCCUGAAGGAGCCUCAUUGUGAAAGCAAGCACAAGCCUUGGGCUUGCUACUCACAGACCAAGUGGGAAAGCCUGGCUCUGCUGGAGAACUCCACUGAGAAAUUAAUCGUGGGCCAGAUCCUUACCGAAAGCUGCUUGAAGAAAUCUCCUUGCCAUUUCCAGACUGGAGACCUUUUGUUUUCAUUCAGCGAAGUACCAGUUCUGUAAGAGACAGCUUUCUCCACUCAGCAUCUUUGGGACACCCAUCGAUCAACGACAGGGAAUUGAAGUAAGAGGAGGGUGGCUUGGAAAAUAAACUCUUCACAUUCAACUGACGAAGUGGGAAA